UUUCCGUAGGUGAACCUGCGGAAGGAUCAUUACAGAGUUCACGCCCUCACGGGUAGAUCUCCCACCCUUGAAUAUUUAUACCUUAGUUGCUUUGGCAGGCCGUGGAAACACCAUGGGCUCCGGCUUAUGCGUGCCUGCCAGAGGAAACAAACUCUGUUUUUAGUGAUGUCUGAGUACUAUAUAAUAGUUAAAACUUUCAACAACGGAUCUCUUGGUUCUG
RNAcentral lists this unclassified non-coding RNA (220 nucleotides) under plant metagenome. RNAcentral describes it as "partial contains small subunit ribosomal RNA, internal transcribed spacer 1, and 5.8S ribosomal RNA". The record is from RNAcentral.